This 440-nucleotide ribosomal RNA is filed under the name Achardella sp. RNAcentral describes it as "partial 16S ribosomal RNA". Lineage: Eukaryota; Metazoa; Arthropoda; Insecta; Coleoptera; Buprestidae. The record is from RNAcentral.
CAUCGCUUUUUGACUAUAAUUUAAGGUUUGACCUGCCCAAUGAGGAUUUAAAUGGCCGCGAUAUUUUGAUCGUGCGAAGGUAGCAUAAUCAUUAGUUUUUUAAUUGAAAGCUGGAAUGAAUGGUUGGACAAGGAAGUGUCUGUCUCAAUUUUAUUUUGAUAGAAUUUCAUUUUUAAGUAAAAAAGCUUAAAUGUAAUUUAAAGACGAGAAGACCCUAUAGAGUUUGAUAUUUAAAUUGUAGAGAUAUUAAGGUAUUUUUUUAUCUUUAUAUUGAUUGUAUUUGGUUGGGGUGACAGAAAAAUUGGUUAAACUUUUUUUAUUUUUAAAUGUUUAUAAACAGUUUAUUGAUCCAUUAUUUAUGAUUAAAAGAUUAAAUUACCUUAGGGAUAACAGCGUAAUCUUUUUUAAGAGUUCUAAUCGAAAAUUGGGAUUGCGACCUC